This 4247-nucleotide unclassified non-coding RNA is filed under the name Drosophila virilis. RNAcentral describes it as "GJ13261". The record is from RNAcentral. Lineage: Eukaryota; Metazoa; Arthropoda; Insecta; Diptera; Drosophilidae.
GGAGCGUGUAAGUGUGUGCGUGUGUGUGUAUGUGUGCAGUGAAGUGCAAAAGAAACACGAUAAAAAAAAAAAACAACACGCCAAGCAGUUGCGCCCGUUUUAGCUGAUAAAGCGUAUAGAAAAAAAGUACAACAACAACAACAACACACAAAGCAGUAGGCACGAAACGAGUGAAAAUAGAAAAUUAAUAAUUAGCUAGAAGAAGCAGCAGCAGCAUUCACACAGGCGAUUUGUAAGUGAUCAGUGCUAAAAAAAAAAAAAGAAAAAAAACGUAAAUGAAAAAUUAAAAUAACAAAUCGUGCAACUUUUCCCAUAAAUAGUGCAAAUCAAAAUUCUCGGUGCAGCGGCCAAAUUUGUAUCGAUCGCACACAGCAACAAAAACACAUACAAAUACAACUACAGCUACAACUACAAAUACAAUAACAAAAGCAACAACAAUAACAAAUCGCACAUCAGAUUUUCAAACUGCAACUGUUGGCGCCUCAAGCGCCGUUAUUUAAUACCGCAAAUCCGUCAAAAUGUCAACAAUGGAGGUGCGCAACAACUCGGCCAUGAUGAAGCGUGCCGAGCAGCUGAAGCGCUGGGAGGAGUCGGACACAAAUCGCGCCGCCCCCACGCCUCGUCGCGAGGACUGUCGCAGCAUCAAGUUUAGCUCCGGCUGCGUUUUUCUCGCCGCCUGCCUCUCCGGCGACAAGGAGGAGGUCGUCCAGCUGCUCAAUCAGGGCGCCGACAUUAACACGGCCAAUGUUGAUGGCCUCACCGCUUUGCAUCAGGCCUGCAUCGAUGACAAACUCGACAUGGUUGAGUUUUUAAUAGAGCACGGCGCCGAUAUCAAUCGGCAAGACAACGAGGGCUGGACGCCGCUGCAUGCAACCGCCUCCUGCGGCUUUGUCAGCAUAGCAUGCUAUCUGGUGGAGCACAACGCCGAUGUGGCUGCCGUGAACAGCGAUGGCGAUCUGGCGCUGGACUUGGCUAUCGAUGUGCAGCACAUGCCCAUGAUUAACUAUAUGGAAAAGGUGGUGCAGGAGCUGAAUAUUGAUGUGGAUCAGGCACGUAGGGCCGAGGAGCAGGCCAUGCUGAAAGAUGCCAAGCGCAGCGAUGCGGCCGAAGUGGAUCAGCCGCAUCCAAAAACUGGUGCAACGGCGUUGCAUGUGGCCGCCGCCAAGGGCUAUACGAAAGUGCUACGUCUAUUGCUGGCCCGUGACUGCAAUGUUGAUAGGCAGGAUAACGAUGGCUGGACACCAUUGCAUGCUGCCGCACACUGGGGCCAAAAGGAGACAGCUGAAAUGCUGGUGGAGGCCCUGGCCGAUAUGGAUAUACCCAAUUAUGCUGGCCAAUCCUGCAUCGAUGUGGCCGAUCGCAAAAUGGUCAAAUUCCUUGAAGAGCUGCGCGCCAAUAAGCGCAACAAACGGCGUCCAUCUAGUCAAAUCAGCAGAAUCUCAGAUGCGAUUGAAAAUCAUGUGGACAAAACACGAAUGAAACUCGUACGCGUCGAAGUGAGAACUGAUGCCGCUAAGGAUGCUGCGAGCGGUUCGCUUAACGCCAGCGAUCAAGUUGCGCUAAAUGAUGAUGAUGUUGCUGCCACAGUUGUUACUGCUGCCCAGGAUCAUAAUGAUGUUGAUGAUAAUGAUGAUGUUGAUGUUGAUGUUGAAAGCGAUUCAGAGCUGAGCGAUUCGACAGAGAGCUCACACAGCACAAGUCUAUCCGAGAGCGAAGCUGAAAAUGUUAAACCCAAUCAGCAUAUACAUGCUGGCGAGCAUUCUGCCGAGGAGGAGGCGCCCUGGCGACGCAAAACUCUGCGCACGCCCAACGACAGUCCCACUAAGAAUCAAGUUCCUGACAAAGAGCUGAGCGGCAAAAGCGCUAAUGAGAGCGCAAACGAUGUCAUCUUGCGGCGCACGCAAAGCUUUGAGAAUGAUCAAAAGAAACCAAUCGCUCCAGCUACGAUGCUGACAGCAGCGACAACAACGACUACAACAACAACAACGACGCUCAGCUCACCAUCAACAACUGUGCUCACCCCACCUAUACGCAGCAAUCCUGCCAACAACAACAACAAUGCCAGCUCUAUGGCGAGCGCCAGUGCAAGCGAUGCGGAGACCCAACCAAAACCCAAGCAAUCGGCGGGCAAUAUAUUCAAGAACUUUUUCAAAUCCUUUGUGCCGCCAGUGCGCGACGAGGAGAGCGAAACGCAGCGCAAGGCGCACGCGAAACGAGUCCGUGAGACGCGUCGCUCCACGCAGGGCGUUACGCUCGAGGAGAUCAAGAGUGCCGAGGAGCUGGUCAAGAAGAAGAACUUGGGCAUGAACAACAACAACAACAAUAACAACAACAACAGCAGCAGCUUCAAGCUGGAGGACAUCACCAGCGGUGGCACCUACCCGCCCAAUCAGAGCACAAUCAUACCCAGCGCACCGGCCGUGAUGGCCGCGGUUAAUUUGGCCAGCACAACGGGCAACCCGCGUCGCAUAAGCAGUGGACCCAAUGCGCUUAACGCUUCCAAUCAAUCGCUCAACUCGGUGGGUCGUCCGGUCUCAGCACCCAGCGAGAGCAGCAAUAACAGCGCAUAUGUGACGCCGCCGGCGCGUAGAUACGAGACAUCCACGCUGGGGACAGCUGCCUCGACAACAGCCACAACAACUGCCACGACAGCCACCAACUCCGCGUCUGCAUCCAGUGCCAACCAUGGAACGGCGACUAGCUCCACGCCCGGCCAUGAUGAUAAGGAUAACGACAAGGAGAACGAUAAUCGUACACAGACUGUUAUUCAGCGACGUCGCAAGCCCAAGCGCAGAUCCACGGGCGUGGUGCAUAUCGAUAUGGAUGAAAUUGAUCCGGAACGCCAACACGAAACGGCCAACAAUGACAAUGAGGAUAAGGAUAAGGAGAGCGGCAGUGAACGCACCUCACGCUCUCGCACCGCGAGCACAGCGACAACGAGCACCGGCAGCGAUUCAAAGAGUUCCAGCAACAACGACAAAGCGGAAAACGGCGAUGGCAUCGACUACAAGGCGCUCUGGGAAGCGGCCAAACUGGAGAACGAUAAGCUCAAGCAAAUGCUCAAGCAGAAGGACGACGAAGCUGUACAGACGCGUGCGACGCUCGAGCGCUUCGCCAAUGCCACCACUAAAAAUUCACUCUCUGAGAUUGAGAAACGUGAAAGAAGAGCUAUGGAACGCAAGCUUUCCGAAUUGGAAGAAGAGCUCAAGCUAUUGCAGAAGCUAAAGACUGAGAACGACCGCCUGCGUGCCGAGAAUCGAGCCCUCACGCGUGUCGUCUCUAAGUUGACCACCUCGGCCCAGAGUCAGCUGGCCAAAAGCAAAUAGGCAACAAUUUACAACAAACAAAAGAAAUAAACAAAAAAAUAAAAAAUAGAAUAUCCUAAAAUAUUGAAAAAACAGCAUAAUCGAAUAUCGUAAUCGUAAUCGUAAUCGCAAACGCAAACCGCUAUCGUAAUCGUAAUCGUAAUCGUUAUCGUUUCUUUAAAUACUCGAGCUGCACACAUAUAUUUACAUACGUACACGCAUACCUAGUUAAAUUCUUAGAUAUCGUACACCCAUCGUCUAGCCUAGAGAUAUUCAGAAACCAUUUUGAUGAACAACUUUAAAGAUUCUUCCACCAUCGAUAUUGUUUAUUAUCAUUAUCAUUAUUAUUAUUAUGAGACAAACAACAACAAGAACAAUUUGCAUUGUUAUAUUGAGCGCAACGUGUAACAAUAAUUAAAUGUACUGUAGUUAAAUUAAGUUUAUAACUUUUGGGGGCAACGAGCACUUAGCAGGCAAAUUUCUAUUUUUGCACCGCUGUACUUUUAGCCCAGAGCAAAAUAAUAUAUGACACAUACACACAUAUUGUAUUGGAGUUAUAUGAAAUAAUACAGAAUAUAACGUUACAAGAUAUAGCACAACAUAUGGCAACUAUAUAUACACACACAUAAGUAUCGUAUACAUACGUUUAAUCAAAAUCAAAAGCUACAUCAAAAAUCGUAAAUCGUAACUCAACGCAACCCAAGGAUUUGCCCAAAUGCUCAACUAUGCUGCCCACGCACUACUUCUACAACAACAACAACAACAAUUGCAGCAAUUCGGUCGUGGCACGAGCACCAAGAUCAUCAUCAGCACAGAUCUAUUAACUUAUUUCUUAUAUGCAGUGAGCUUUACGCAACUUGAUGCCUACAAGUCGGACAAUGACCGCCUGAAGGAGGAGAACGCCGCGUUGAUUAGAGUAAUUAGUAAAUUAAGUAAAUGAAA